AUUGAACGUACUCCCUCCCCGUCUUAAAAAUAUUCAACGUUUGACCAUCCAUUUUAUUUAAAAAAAAUAUGAUUAGUAUUAUUAUUAUUAUUAUUAUAUGAUAAAACAUAAAUUAUAUUUUAUGCAUGAUUAUUUUUUUUAAUUUUUUAUAAAUAUUUUAAAUAAGAUGAACGAUCAAACAUUACACACGAAAACCUACGGCUACACUUAAA
Molecule: non-coding RNA, 212 nt
Organism: Oryza punctata
Lineage: Eukaryota; Viridiplantae; Streptophyta; Magnoliopsida; Poales; Poaceae
Source: Rfam